GAGAAGAACGCAGUGAAAUGCGAUAAGUAAUGUGAAUUGCAGAAUUCAGUGAAUCAUCGAAUCUUUGAACGCACAUUGCGCCCGUCAGUAUUCUGGCGGGCAUGCCUGUUCGAGCGUCAUUACGCCCCUCAAGUCCCCUGUGGACUUGGUGUUGGGGAUCGGCGAGGCUGGUUUUCCAGCACAGCCGUCCCUUAAAUUAAUUGGCGGUCUCGCCGUGGCCCUCCUCUGCGCAGUAGUAAAACACUCGCAACAGGAGCCCGGCGCGGUCCACUGCCGUAAAACCCCCCAACUUUUUAUAGUUGACCUCGAAUCAGGUAGGACUACCCGCUGAACUUAAGCAUAUCAAUAAGCGGAGGA
RNAcentral lists this unclassified non-coding RNA (357 nucleotides) under soil metagenome. RNAcentral's name for it is "partial contains 5.8S ribosomal RNA, internal transcribed spacer 2, and large subunit ribosomal RNA". The stretch from base 3 to 119 matches the Rfam family "5.8S ribosomal RNA", at positions 38 to 154 of the family's 154-position model. The record is from RNAcentral.